RNAcentral lists this long non-coding RNA (453 nucleotides) under Mytilus galloprovincialis (Mediterranean mussel). Lineage: Eukaryota; Metazoa; Mollusca; Bivalvia; Mytilida; Mytilidae. The record is from RNAcentral.
GGUUGUGUUUUUGUCUGUUUUUGUUAAACUUUAAGCAAUAGGUCAACUAUAUUUGUUAUUAUUUAUUUAUAUGUGACAGUUGUAUUACUAGAUUUUUUUCACUCGACUGAGCGGGGUAGAAGAAGUUCCCUUAUUUACGACCAGUCCAUCUAUAAACUGGAGUUUUGGGAUAAAGUCAUCAAUGAAGUGUUCAGUUAUUCAUCCCGUAUCACACACUGAAUUAUUUUGUAUAUGCGUUUGGUGACACUAAUAGGUGAUUAGAAUUCAAUAAUAAUUAUAACGGCAAUCAUCCUUAUCACAUCUUCAAAUAGACUGUCCUAAUGCAAAUUCAAACAUAAGCUCCGCCCGAUCAUUUGAAAUAACAUUGGUAAUAACAAAGCUUUAUAUUUAGGACUACCAAUAUAAUAUCAAUGAUUAGGAAAGAAGGCGAGACAUUUCUGCAUGUGUACUCUU